This is a non-coding RNA of Imleria badia, 81 nucleotides long. The record is from the annotation of a GenBank genome assembly. Lineage: Eukaryota; Fungi; Basidiomycota; Agaricomycetes; Boletales; Boletaceae.
GGCCUGGUGGUCUAGUAGUAUGAUUCCUUGUUAGGGUGGCAAAUAUCGAGGAGGUCCCGGGUUCAAUUCCCGGCCAGGCCC